Molecule: transfer RNA, 35 nt
Filed under: Archaeolacerta bedriagae (Bedriaga's rock lizard)
Lineage: Eukaryota; Metazoa; Chordata; Lepidosauria; Squamata; Lacertidae
Also listed under: 1 other name
Description: partial tRNA-Ser
Source: RNAcentral
AAGAGGUGUAUAAACAAUUAGAGCUGCUAACUCAA